UGGGCCCUACGGGGGGCAGCAGUGGGGAAUAUUGCACAAUGGGCGAAAGCCUGAUGCAGCAACGCCGCGUGAAGGAUGACGGCCCUACGGGUUGUAAACUUCUUUUGUCAGGGAGCAAUUGGGUCCACGCGUGGGCUUAGCGAGAGUACCUGAAGAAAAAGCAUCGGCUAACUCCGUGCCAGCAGCCGCGGUAAUACGGAGGAUGCGAGCGUUAUCCGGAUUUAUUGGGUUUAAAGGGUGCGUAGGCGGAAUAUCAAGUCAGCGGUAAAAAUUCGGGGCUCAACCCCGUCGUGCCGUUGAAACUG
Molecule: ribosomal RNA, 305 nt
Filed under: uncultured bacterium
Lineage: Bacteria
Description: bacterial SSU rRNA
Rfam family: Bacterial small subunit ribosomal RNA
Source: RNAcentral